Molecule: ribosomal RNA, 237 nt
Filed under: uncultured bacterium
Lineage: Bacteria
Description: partial 16S ribosomal RNA
Rfam family: Bacterial small subunit ribosomal RNA
Source: RNAcentral
UCGGACGGGUGAGUAACGCGUGGGUAACCUGCCUUGUACUGGGGGACGAACAGUUGGAAACGACUGCUAAUACCGCAUAAGCGCACAGCUUCGCAUGAAGCAGUGCGAAAAACUCCGGUGGUACAAGAUGGACCCGCGUCUGAUUAGCUGGUUGGUGAGGUAACGGCCUACCAAGCCGACGAUCAGUAGCCGACCUGAGAGGGUGACCGGCCACAUUGGGACUGAGACACGGCCCAA